AUUAAUAACUUCCUCUAUUCUCUAUUGUUGACAAAUUUUAAUUCUUUUGAAUGUGUGUGUAAGUUCAAUUAUUUUCAAGGUGUUUGAUUUGCUGUAUGUUCAAUUGGUGAUUAAUUCCUUUACUUAAUAAUUAUUCUAUGAAAAUUGCUAGAUUUUUUCAAUUUGUUUUGAUAGAAUUAAUUAAUUUAUUUUUUUCUUCUAAACAUUGUUUAUUAAUUUCUUAAAUAUGUUAUGAA
RNAcentral lists this unclassified non-coding RNA (236 nucleotides) under Hevea brasiliensis (rubber tree). Lineage: Eukaryota; Viridiplantae; Streptophyta; Magnoliopsida; Malpighiales; Euphorbiaceae. The record is from RNAcentral.